GACGAACGCUGGCGGCGUGCUUAACACAUGCAAGUCGAACGGAAAGGCCCUGCUUUUGUGGGGUGCUCGAGUGGCGAACGGGUGAGUAACACGUGAGUAACCUGCCCUUGACUUUGGGAUAACUUCAGGAAACUGGGGCUAAUACCGGAUAGGAGCUCCUGCUGCAUGGUGGGGGUUGGAAAGUUUCGGCGGUUGGGGAUGGACUCGCGGGUUAUCAGCUUGUUGGUGGGGUAGUGGCUUACCAAGGCUUUGACGGGUAGCCGGCCUGAGAGGGUGACCGGCCACCAUGGGACUGCGAUACGGCCCAGACGCCUACGGUAGGCAGCAGUGGGGAAUCUUGCGCAACGGGCGGAAGCCUGAUGCAGCAGCGCCGCGUGCGGGAUGACGGCCUUCGGGUUGUAAACCGCUUUCGCCUGUGACGAAGCGUGAGUGACGGUAAUGGGUAAAGAAGCACCGGCUAACUACGUG
This 468-nucleotide ribosomal RNA is filed under the name uncultured bacterium. RNAcentral's name for it is "partial 16S ribosomal RNA". It matches the Rfam family "Bacterial small subunit ribosomal RNA", at positions 28 to 507 of the family's 1533-position model. The record is from RNAcentral.